RNAcentral lists this ribosomal RNA (467 nucleotides) under uncultured bacterium. Its description in RNAcentral is "partial 16S ribosomal RNA". It matches the Rfam family "Bacterial small subunit ribosomal RNA", at positions 28 to 506 of the family's 1533-position model. The record is from RNAcentral.
GACGAACGCUGGCGGCGUGCUUAACACAUGCAAGUCGAACGGAAAGGCCCUGCUUUUGUGGGGUGCUCGAGUGGCGAACGGGUGAGUAACACGUGAGUAACCUGCCCUUGACUUUGGGAUAACUUCAGGAAACUGGGGCUAAUACCGGAUAGGAGCUCCUGCUGCAUGGUGGGGGUUGGAAAGUUUCGGCGGUUGGGGAUGGACUCGCGGCUUAUCAGCUUGUUGGUGGGGUAGUGGCUUACCAAGGCUUUGACGGGUAGCCGGCCUGAGAGGGUGACCGGCCACAUUGGGACUGAGAGACGGCCCAGACUCCUACGGGAGGCAGCAGUGGGGAAUAUUGCACAAUGGGCGGAAGCCUGAUGCAGCAACGCCGCGUGCGGGAGGACGGCCUUCGGGUUGUAAACCGCUUUCGCCUGUGACGAAGCGUGAGUGACGGUAAUGGGUAAAGAAGCACCGGCGAACUACGU